UACAGAGGGUGCAAGCGUUAAUCGGAAUUACUGGGCGUAAAGCGUGCGUAGACGGUUACAUAAGUCGGGUGUGAAAGCCCCGGGCUCAACCUGGGAAUUGCAUUCGAGACUGCGUAGCUAGGGUACGGUAGAGGGAAGCGGAAUUUCCGGUGUAGCGGUGAAAUGCGUAGAUAUCGGAAGGAACACCAGUGGCGAAAGCGGCUUCCUGGACCAGUACCGACGUUCAGGCACGAAAGCGUGGGGAGCAAACAGG
This 253-nucleotide ribosomal RNA is filed under the name uncultured bacterium. RNAcentral's name for it is "partial 16S ribosomal RNA". It matches the Rfam family "Bacterial small subunit ribosomal RNA", at positions 524 to 776 of the family's 1533-position model. The record is from RNAcentral.